RNAcentral lists this ribosomal RNA (492 nucleotides) under uncultured bacterium. RNAcentral describes it as "partial 16S ribosomal RNA". It matches the Rfam family "Bacterial small subunit ribosomal RNA", at positions 29 to 507 of the family's 1533-position model. The record is from RNAcentral.
AGUGAACGCUGGCGGUAGGCCUAACACAUGCAAGUCGAACGGCAGCACAGUAAGAGCUUGCUCUUACGGGUGGCGAGUGGCGGACGGGUGAGGAAUACAUCGGAAUCUACUUUUUCGUGGGGGAUAACGUAGGGAAACUUACGCUAAUACCGCAUACUACCUACGGGUGAAAUCAGGGGAUCUUCGGACCUUGCGCGAUUGAAUGAGCCGAUGUCGGAUUAGCUAGUUGGCGGGGUAAAGGCCCACCAAGGCGACGAUCCGUAGCUGGUCUGAGAGGAUGAUCAGCCACACUGGAACUGAGACACGGUCCAGACUCCUACGGGAGGCAGCAGUGGGGAAUAUUGGACAAUGGGCGCAAGCCUGAUCCAGCAAUACCGCGUGGGUGAAGAAGGCCUUCGGGUUGUAAAGCCCUUUUGUUGGGAAAGAAAAGCAGCAGGUUAAUACCCCGCUGUUCUGACGGUACCCAAAGAAUAAGCACCGGCUAACUUCGUG